This 3017-nucleotide ribosomal RNA is filed under the name Trichonephila clavata. Its description in RNAcentral is "28S ribosomal RNA". The stretch from base 303 to 3017 matches the Rfam family "Eukaryotic large subunit ribosomal RNA", at positions 1 to 2477 of the family's 3401-position model. Lineage: Eukaryota; Metazoa; Arthropoda; Arachnida; Araneae; Nephilidae. The record is from RNAcentral.
ACAGCUCCGAGCAGUGGAUCACUCGGCUCGCGGGUCGAUGAAGAACGCAGCCAGCUGCGAGAUUUGGUGUGAAUUGCAGAACACUCAGAUCACUGAUUAUUCGAACGCACAUUGCGGCUCCCGCUCCUCUGCGGGAGCCUCGCCUGUCUGAGGGUCGCGUGAUGCAUGCAGAGGUUCUUUCCUCGGAAGGUGACCAAACGGCCCCUUCGGAUUCGUCCGUGGGCUCAGAGAACGAUCUCUCCCGGGGAUCGACCGCAAACGUACCCCCGGGAGUAAGAUAAAGGGAUAACUAUGAUAAGAAGCGACCUCAGAUCAGACGAGAGAACCCGCCGAACUUAAGCAUAUCAGUAAGCGGAGGAAAAGAAAACAACAGUGAUUCCCCCAGUAGCGGCGAGCGAAAAGGGAAGAGCCCAGCGCCGAAUCCCUGCGUCGAGAGGCGCACCCUGGGAAAUGUGGCGUAAGGAGUGCGCGCAGGUCCGCCGCAGGGUUCGAGGUAAGUCCCCCUGACAGGGGCUUUUCCCGUGGCGGGUGCCAGGCCCGUGUCCUCGAGCCCCGUCGGCGGUGCCGGCGCCUCCGGAGAGUCGGGUUGCUCGGGAGUGCAGCCCCAAGGCGGGAGGUAGACUCCUCCCAAGGCUAAAUACGACCGCGAGACCGAUAGCAAACAAGUACCGUGAGGGAAAGUUGCAAAGAACUUUGAAGAGAGAGUUCAAGAGACGUGAAACUGCUCGGAGGGAAACGGGUGGGCCCUCGAAGUCCCGACCUUCCGCGGAGACUCAGUCGCUGUCGAGCGACGCACUUCUCCGCGGGAUUCUAGGGAAGUCGCGGCCGGUCGCCUUCUUCUCUCCGCCUCCGGGUGAGUCCGCCGCGCACCUUACGGAGCGUCGGCGUCCCCCGGGGGCCCGAUGCAGAGAGGGCGACCCGGUGCCCGCACGGGCCAGCUCCUCCCGCCGUCCGCCUCUUCCGGGCACCUGAAGCCCGUCCGUCGCCGACGCGCCUCGUCCCUCGUGGAGGGCGGUCCUUCGGACGACUCCUCGAAGUCGGAAAUGUACUCUUGCGGGCGGAGGGAGUUGCGGUUCCGCGACGAGUAGGUCGGUCACCCACCCGACCCGUCUUGAAACACGGACCAAGGAGUCUUGCUCUCGUGCGAGUCUAAAGGUACACUACGAAGCCCAGAGGCGCAGCGAAAGCGUAGAUCGCGAUCCCUCCUCUGACUCGAGGGGGGCGCAGCGACCGCCCGUGCCCUGAAGUGGGAACGGAGCGAGAGCACGAGGGCAGGGACCCGAUAGGUGGUGAACUAUUCUCGGGCAGGACGAAGGCCGAGGAAACUCGGCUGGAGGUCCGAAGCGGUUCUGACGUGCAAAUCGAUCGUCCGACCCGAGUAUAGGGGCGAAAGACCAAUCGAACCACCUGGUAGCUGGUUCCCUCCGAAGUUUCCCUCAGGAUAGCCGUCGCUCGUCGGCAGCAGUCUCGCCGGGUAGAGAGAAUGAUUAGAGCGCCUCGGGGACGCCCGUGUCACUCGACCUCUUCUCAAACUACGAACGGACGAGAAGGGAGCCUCUCCCGAUUCGGAGGCCUCCCGAGUAAGGAUGCAGAGUGGCGCGUGGGCCACUUUUGGUAAGCAGAACUGGCGCUGCGGGAUGAACCGAACGCCGGGUUAAGGCGCCCGAUGCGGGACGCUCAGAGACCCCAUAAAAGGUGUCGGUUGCUCUAUACAGCAGGACGGUGGCCACGGAAGUCGGCAUCCGCUAAGGAGUGUGUAACAACUCACCUGCCUAAGCAACCGGUCCUGAAAAUGGAUGGCGCUCCAGCGUCGAGCCCAUACCCGGCCCUUUCUCUAACGUUUCGGAUACGGAGAAAGGAGUAGGAGGGUCGCGGCGGAGCGCGUAGAAGGUCAGGGCGUGAACCCGACUGGAGCCUCCGCCGGUGCAGAUCUUGGUGGUAGUAGCAAAUAUUCGAGUGAGAACCUCGAAGACUGAAGCACGGAGAAGGGUUCCAUGUGAACAGCAGUUGAACAUGGGUGAGUCGGUCCUGAUUCACUUCCUAAUGGAAUUACUUAAAAGCUUCUAUUAUUUGAGAUGAGAAGUAUUGGAGAAUGGGAAAAGGGUUAAUAUUCCCUUACCCGGACACGGAGAUAGGGGCACCCGUGUCCCAAGUGCGGUAACGCAAACGAACUCGGCGACGCCGUCGGAGGACCCGGAGAAGAGUUGACUUUUCUUCGUAAGAGCUCGUGUCCCUGGAAUCUCGUCACGAGGAGAUAGGGACGCUGUUCUCGUAAGAGCACGGUCGCUGCUGCCGUGUCCGGUGCGCCUCCGCCGGCCCUUGAAAAACCGAGGGAGAGAGUGUGAUUUUCGUGCCGGUCCGUACCCAUAUCCGCAGCAGGUCUCCAAGGUGAACAGCCUCUAGUCUCUAGAACAAUGUAGGUAAGGGAAGUCGGCAAGUUCGAUCCCUAACUUCGGGAAAAGGAUUGGCUCUUGUGUUUCCGUCCUCGCGGACCUCUUUUGCCGUAUUUCUUGCGCUUCUGCCGUGGGGACUGACCGCCCUCUCCGAGGCGUGGUCGGACCCCUACGCGGACGGAGGGAAGAGGAAAGAGGGUGGCCUCGCUCCUUCGAGAGCCGGGGCUUGUGCCGGCGGGACAUCGUGGAAACGAACAAGAACUGGCACGGACUAGGGGAAUCCGACUGUCUAAUUAAAACAAAGCAUUGCGACGGCCGGAGAACGGUGUUGACGCAAUGUGAUUUCUGCCCAGUGCUCUGAAUGUCAAAGUGAAGAAAUUCAAUGAAGCGCGGGUAAACGGCGGAAGUAACUAUGACUUUCUUAAGGUAGCCAAACGCCUCGUCAUCUAAUUAGUGACGCGCAUGAAUGGAUUAACGAGAUUCCCACUGUCCCUAUCUACUAUCUAGCGAAACCACAGCCAAGGAACGGGCUUGGCAAAUUCAUCGGGGAAAGAAGACCCUUUCGAGCUUGACUGUAGUCUGACUCUGUGGCGAGGCAUUAUUGGCGUAGUCUAGGUGGGAGUC